GGGGUGAGUCAAGUGACAUACAACACAAGAAAUAUUCAGUUAUGAGGAUUGAAGAAAUUAAUGAUCAUUCAGUCAUUGAGGAUUUGAGAAGAGGCAUCAAUGCUCCAGUAGAGGUGUUAUUGAAGUUGUGGCUGUCAAUAGUCCUUUUAUUGAUGCUAAGUACAUGGUGCAAUGACAGAAAUCAUCCAGUGGGAUGUUCUACUGCAUCAGAAUUUGACAAAUUUAAUUCUGCCAUUAUAUUCUUCCCUUCACUGCUCAAGUUAACACCCCUCCUCCCAUUUAUUGGCCCAUAUGUUCAAGUAUGAAUCCACUCAUGGCCCCUUUAAAGGAUCCAUUAAGAUCGUGGAUGAUUCAGUAUUGGAGAUUAAUACGAAAAGAUCACAACCACGGGCGAAAGGUAAAUAUGCCAGGGUUAGCUAAUUGUUUGCCAUAUUAGUGUGGUUGAUAUAUAUGUCGCGGUUUCUAAAUAUGCAUGACAUGUUGUGCUGAAAUAAGGACAUGUGAAGCAAUGAAGUCACCAAGGUAACAUUAUUAGUUAAUAAUUGAUUUAUAGUUUAGAGCCCCAUGUUUUUCGCACAUUCAUACGGACAUAUAAUAGCUUAUAAGCGCGCGCUUGUCGUACAUCUCGAGUACUGCUUGUUCCUUCUCUUAUUUUGAUUCUUAUGUUCACAUGUUGAUUUUUUGUCAUAGAGGGAAAGGAGAAGUCUGAAUGCGCCAACAAGUAGCGACCAAUGAGCUGUCGUCUAUGGAUUGGCUAAGGGAGGAGUUGUCUUGUGCUGCAAGGGCAUCUUGCAGAUCGAUUUCCUUGGUUUGAUGUGUCUCAGAUUCUAAUUAGUAUUUAAUUUCCUUAGUUUUAACUUACAACCAGACAGAAAUUGUUAUUGCACCUGAAUAUUUGAUUAUGAAUCUAAGUUAUGGGAAAUAGGUGGAGUAAGAGGAAAUGAGGCGUUGUUAGAUGGGUCCUUGCCACGGUUGCCCUGAGUUUUCGCAUUGAAGCACCACUUUGUAUGGCUAGCCUUCCAUGGCUACAUCGAGAGUCCCAAUCUGCAGGCGAGCUCUUUUUUUCAUCUGCAGGUUAUGAGUCAUCUCCACCUCAAUGAGAUUUAGUUUCCACAUUAACGACUAUAGGUUUCUUAAUGUUUUGGAGUGGUCUACUUUCAUUGUCUCCGGUUCAGUUGUGUAUUUCUUUGCGCCCAUGUUCGCUUCAGUAUUCCCUUCCAAUUCUCACACUAUGGUUGUGGCUUCUUUAUUUAUGUUGGACUGUUCUGUGAAUUGCCACCAUGACACUUGUUGAAAAUAGUGUUGUCGGGUGAUAAUCAUUCUUGGCAGUGAUUCUUGUUGUGGAUGGGAUAUUGAUGCAGAUAUACCACGAAGGGAAGAUCUGCCUCACUGUGCACUUCAGGCGCGCACACACUAGUGAUGGUAUAGGAUUGGCUUCCUGGUGGAAUCAGGUGCGCGUCGUCCAUGGUGGCCUGUCGUGGGUGUUGGUGGGCGGCUGGAGGCGGCUGUAGCAGGUCGAUUUAUCUGACUACUGAAAAUGAGCUUCAGAAUAUCUGUAGAACAUAGCCCACUUCCAGCCAAAUAUCAAUUAUGAUAAAUCCACCAUGUACCAUGAUCAUUUGAACAGUCUUGCUUAAGUUUAUGUUAGCCCUGUAUGCUAAUUUGAGGAGAUUGUUAACUUUAAGGUGUGAACAUUUAUAAAAUGAUAAUUGUACCAUUUUUUGGGAUUUUGUGAUU
Molecule: long non-coding RNA, 1737 nt
Organism: Triticum urartu
Lineage: Eukaryota; Viridiplantae; Streptophyta; Magnoliopsida; Poales; Poaceae
Source: RefSeq, a predicted model, not a curated record